Long non-coding RNA from Pecten maximus, 142 nucleotides. RefSeq lists it as uncharacterized. The transcript has 2 exons. The record is from RefSeq and is a predicted model, not a curated record. NCBI's taxonomy places the organism in Eukaryota, Metazoa, Mollusca, Bivalvia, Pectinida, Pectinidae.
UUCUCCUUUAAAUUAUCCAAUAGGAUAAAGAUAACGAAAACACGUGAAUGUAUUUCACAGCGACAGAGGUACCGCAUGAAGAAUAAAGAACGGGCAAGAGUCCGAUAUUGAGAAGCCCCGAAGAAACAUGACCUAAAUAAAA